CUCCAUUUUUUAGCUAAGAGAUUGAGAGAGUCGGUUUACUUUUGGGCUUGGAGUAUCAUUUAGAUCUGUUAACAGUACAGUUGAGAGAGUUGGUGUCUUUUGUUGAGGUGCGAGGACCCGAGGCGGCGACCCUCGCCUUUAUUCGGAGAAGCCCACUUCCACCCACAGAGUUGGGGUAGUCCUCCGAAAUGCAUUUUUGUUUUGCCGUUUGUUUUCCAACCCCCUUUCACUCUCCCCAAAGCUUCAGAUUCACUGAUUUUUCAUACAGGAAUGAUUAACAAAGGCGUCCGAAGAAAUCGUUGUUGGAAGGUGACCAAGGUGGAAAGAGACGUUGCUUUGGCCCUGCAAGUAAGAAGAGAGAGGGAAUAGCCUGAAGGAGUAACACUAAAUUUAAAAUGACACUUUUUUACCAACCAGCGAAAGCAGAUGUUCAAAGGGGAUAUUGGCCAGAGUCUGUCACACUAAGAUGAGAAAUGUCCUUUCUUCCUGAAGGUGUCUGAUGUGUAAAAAUAUGAUAUACUUUGUGCUGUUUCCUCCCUUCCCUUUUGCAUAUUAUUCUGAAACAACAUUAACUAGUUACUUUGCGUCAUUGAAGGUAUGCACUUCCCCUCUAUGUUAGGAGUGAAUAAAAUUAAAAAUAGAUCCUUAUAACAAAGAAAGGCAGAUAGAAUGAUUAAAAAUGACCAAAACAUGUUAGAAACAGUCUCUCAGGUGUAUGCAGAUGGUAAUUACAAAAAUACUUUUUCAAAAAAUGAUCUUCUGUGUCAUGUUUCUGGGAACAAGUCAAGAUGAAUGAGUUUGAUUUUUAAGCAGAAGUAGUAUGUGUUGGUGUCAUCCAUGAAUACAACAAUGAAAAAGGC
This 860-nucleotide long non-coding RNA is filed under the name Homo sapiens (human). RNAcentral describes it as "non-protein coding RAB30-AS1:23". Lineage: Eukaryota; Metazoa; Chordata; Mammalia; Primates; Hominidae. The record is from RNAcentral.